This 1565-nucleotide long non-coding RNA is filed under the name Arabidopsis lyrata. RNAcentral's name for it is "long non-coding RNA (ALYR_LNC002237)". Lineage: Eukaryota; Viridiplantae; Streptophyta; Magnoliopsida; Brassicales; Brassicaceae. The record is from RNAcentral.
CAAUGAUGAGGUGAGCCUGGUGAGGUGUGGUGUGGUGUGGUGCAGGUGGGUUUCUCGUUUCUUCAAUAUAAAAAGUUUUAUUCGUGGACAAAGAAUAUAUAUAUAUUUUUUUUUGUCAUCUGAUUUUUAUUAAAACUUUAAGAUAGGAUAUAAGGUGAAAUACUUAAGCCGGUGGAAAACAAAGAUAUCCUCAGAAUCUAAAGCCCAAAAGAGAGAAGCUAAGCCGGCGGACAAAAAAAAAGUCCCCGGAGACAAAGUCGGAGAAAAAAAAGAAUUCCCCCAAAUCUAAGUCUACGCUAAAAACAACAUAAACUUUUAAAGCCGAAAUCGAAAGAGAACGAAACCAAAAACUAAGAAAAGAGGCAAACUAAAAAUAAACAAGAAGAUAAACACUAAGUCAAAAUAACCAAAUCGAUCUUCUUCUUCUGAAGUUUCUGCGAAUGAGCUAUAUCAAUGCUGCCCAACCAUUAAUCACAACUGCUUCCUCCUAUCACAAUGAGAGAAGAUCUCUCGAAACCAAGUAACAAUGACUUCAUAAUCUGACAAGUAAAGGUCCAAAUAGAUCCUCAUUAAACACUUUCAGAUGCGGCUGCGACGAGGGUGCGUCAAGGAACACCUUGAUAGAAGUCAAAAAGAUGCAAUCCGACAUCCUCCAGAUUUGGAAACGCAGAGACAAGGAGCGAAACAUAACCACCUCGAUGAGCUUCGAAAUCAAGAACAAAAACGACACUCAUCUACAACGGAAAUCAUCACCAGUAACUUCCACCUAAGAGAAGAAAGAUCUGAAGCCAAACGACACUAGCAUAAACUUCACACAACAAGGGCCUCAUCUUAGAAAGGAGACGAACCAAACGAGCAACUAUUAGCUAAACCAGGCAAUAAGGGUGAGCGGAGAGGCUAAGGCAAGAUGAAAGCUAACUACAGAGCUCACACAAGCCAAGCACGCGACAUCAAAACACCAAGAAGCACAAGAGCGAGUAACAGAUCUGGAUUUGGGGAAGGCGAAAAGCAAUGGCUUUAUUACAUACCCGUCACCGUCGAUCUCAGAUCCGGCUCCAUCAUCUUCGCAAGAGCCCUGAACCACAAAUCUGAAACACUCAAACUGCUUCCGACAAACACCCAAAAUCACAAACCGAUCAAACUAAAUCGAAACCCCAAUCGAAGGCCACAAGAUUCUUAAAAUUAACACAAAACUAAAACCAAGAAAGGAAAGAACAAAAGGAGGACCAAAGCCGGUGCUAGAGGAGCCACCGUACUCCGGUCACCGAUCUGGGCAAACUUGUAAACUUGAGAGAGCGGCGGCUAGGUCUAGUCCCGAGAGAGAGAGGUGAAUUCGUGGACAAAGAAUAUAGAAUAUAGUUUUGUUUUCUCGCUUUGAAUAUAGAAUAUAGUAUAGCUCUCUUAAUUUAUAGUACAAAAAUAAUACUUUUUUAAGGAAAAUCAGUUCAAUAAUGUGUUUGGUUUAAAACCAGAGUUUUACUUCAUAGUUUAUACACAAGAUUACAUGAAGAAACACUACUACGCUUUAAAGAAAGAAAUCUAUUUAUCAGAAACGUUUUGAGAAA